CACAAUGACUCUCGGCAACGGAUAUCUCGGCUCUUGCAUCGAUGAAGAACGUAGCGAAAUGCGAUACUUGGUGUGAAUUGCAGAAUCCCGUGAACCAUCGAGUCUUUGAACGCAAGUUGCGCCCAAAGCCAUUAGGCCGAGGGCACGCCUGCCUGGGUGUCACA
This 164-nucleotide ribosomal RNA is filed under the name Sesbania sesban var. nubica. Its description in RNAcentral is "5.8S ribosomal RNA". It matches the Rfam family "5.8S ribosomal RNA". From Rfam's summary of the family: 5.8S ribosomal RNA (5.8S rRNA) is a component of the large subunit of the eukaryotic ribosome. It is transcribed by RNA polymerase I as part of the 45S precursor that also contains 18S and 28S rRNA. Lineage: Eukaryota; Viridiplantae; Streptophyta; Magnoliopsida; Fabales; Fabaceae. The record is from RNAcentral.